GUAAAAUCAAACUUUUUAGUCCCUUUAUUAGAUUGCUGUCAAAGAAAACAUUAGUCAACUUGUUUUAGUCUUGGUCAAAGGGACUAAAUAGUAUGGAUCCUUAAAAUUAUAAGGACUAAACAGUAUAAACAUUAAAGGCCAAAAUAAGUUAACUAACGCUUUCUUUGACAAAAGGACUAAAGAGUUUGAUUUAAAAAAAAAAGGAUGUUUUAAUUGAGUUUUUAAAAAAUAGGGACUAAGUAAUUAAUUUUGACAAAUUACAACUAAGUUUAUUAAUUGAUACUUAUAUAAUGUAACAUUUGCUGUGUUGGAUUAUUUUCUAAUCACAUAGCUCAUCUAUUUUUGGCAGAGUCAAGGGUUUGAUAAUUG
RNAcentral lists this unclassified non-coding RNA (369 nucleotides) under Hevea brasiliensis (rubber tree). Lineage: Eukaryota; Viridiplantae; Streptophyta; Magnoliopsida; Malpighiales; Euphorbiaceae. The record is from RNAcentral.